Molecule: ribosomal RNA, 423 nt
Filed under: uncultured bacterium
Lineage: Bacteria
Also listed under: 1 other name
Description: bacterial SSU rRNA
Rfam family: Bacterial small subunit ribosomal RNA
Source: RNAcentral
UGAGGAAUAUUGGUCAAUGGGCGAGAGCCUGAACCAGCCAAGUCGCGUGAGGGAAGAAUGGUCUAUGGCCUGUAAACCUCUUUUGUCAGGGAAGAAUAAGGAUGACGAGUCAUUCGAUGCCAGUACUUGACGAAUAAGCAUCGGCUAACUCCGUGCCAGCAGCCGCGGUAAUACGGGGGAUGCGAGCGUUAUCCGGAUUUAUUGGGUUUAAAGGGCGCGUAGGCGGGACGUCAAGUCAGCGGUAAAAGACUGCAGCUAAACUGUAGCACGCCGUUGAAACUGGCGCCCUGGAGACGAGACGAGGGAGGCGGAACAAGUGAAGUAGCGGUGAAAUGCAUAGAUAUCACUUGGAACCCCGAUAGCGAAGGCAGCUUCCCAGGCUCGUUCUGACGCUGAUGCGCGAGAGCGUGGGUAGCGAACAGG